CCUGGGUGCAUAUGUUUUUAAUUUACAUAAAUGUAUUUUCUAUAAAUCAUAUUAUUCUCAGUUUUCUUACUAAGCUGUAUGUUUUUAAGAAUACUCUACAUUGCUUUGUAUAUUUAAUCUAUUGCUUCUAACUGCUGCAUAGUAUUCAGUAAUGUACACCCACCGUAUUUUAGUGAUCUGUUCACCCAGUGAUGAAAACUGUGUCUGUGGGACAGUUAAUUUGGGGGAGAGCCAAAGCAGAACUAAAAACUCUACCCGUGUACAUCCUCCCCCUGCUGUGCCCAACCACCAUCCACAACGGGCUGCUGCAAAGCCCGUCCUUAACCGCCCUGUCCCAAAUCACACACACACACAGACAUUUAGUCCAUGACAGCCUUCGUUCUCUGAGAUGGUUUAGAUUUGUUCUGUUCCGUCCUCAGACCCUUAAGACCCUCUCCCUUCUGUGGGGUCUCCAGGGUUGAUUUUGAGUCAGAGUGCCAACUGCCAAUUUGUCAGCUUUCAGGUUUUCAAUUCCACUGAGUUUGCUAAAUUCAAUUAUUACGUUUUCAGUUUGAGAGUUCUUUUUUCUUCAUAUCUGCCUUGUUAUUUUGAAUAAUAUCUUGUUCCUUCAUCAUACACUCAAUAUCCUCCUUCAUUUCUUGAAAUAGUUAAGAAACCUGUUUUAUAGUCUAUAUUUGAGAUUUCCAAAUCAUCAGUGUUUGGUGGGUCUGAUUCUGUUGUUUGUUUGUUUUUCUUUUACUCAGGAUGGCUUCUUUACUACGCCUAUGUUCCUUGGAAUUUUAUCUCUGGAAAUUUUUAAGACCUGAGUUUAAAAUAUUCCUCUGGAGAGAAUUUGCGUUUGCUUUUGUCUGACUGCUGAUGUUGCUAUCAAAUUCAGAUCACUAAAUUUUCAGCUUGAGUAUUUCAAGAGGCGAUGAGGGAUGGGGCUAGGAGCCACAUAGGUAGGGUGGGUUCUAGCCCUAAAUCAGCUACAGUGCAAUCCUAUGAUUAGGAAUAGACAGAAGGGACUUUCUAGGGUUUUUUCCUCCUUCACCGAGAGCCGUCGCUGAGACAAGCAAGUAUACCCAGUCUUACUCUGUGGAGCAAGGUUUCUUUCUAGUUCAUCUACUAAGGAUGUUGCCUUUGCAAGUUCUUGGCUUUGUGCUGAGGUCUUGGACUUCAUGCACACACACACACCAACUUUGGCCCUAGACUUUAUUUCCUGCCUGCCACAGCAUAGCCUGUUCAUUUUGUACUAGGACAUCUAGUCUGCCAUAUUGCCUCAAGUGGAAACUUCCAUAUUCUUAAAUUCAUCUUAGUAAUACACUUUUGUGAUGUUACAGCAGGAAGAUAACAGGAAAUUAUUCCAUUCUAAUUUCUGUUGAAUUUAUAAUUAAAAGUGUGCACAGGAAUUUAGAAUAGAAAGUAAGAAUAAAUAAAAGGGUUGAGAAAAUAUUAUCUAAAAGCAAUAGACAGUAGAACCAAAACAAGAGAAUCAUAUGACAGGCUUAAAUUUAGUAAUUUAAAGAGUGUUUAUGAAUAGAAAAGAUGUCACGCAAAAAUAAGUUAAAUGACAUGGAUUCCAGCUGUGAUAUAACUGCAUUCAGUUAGGAAAAGACUAAAUGCUUUGAAGCUAGAUGCUCUGAACAGCUCUUUAUCACCAAAUCAGGCAGGCUGAUAUCUUCUCCAUUUUAUCGUUAAACUUUAGGUCACAAGUCUAAGGCAACAGAGUUACAAACUCAAAAUUUGCAUGAUUAUUUCUAUUUUCUCAUAAAAAAAUAAUUUUGGUAACAUUUCCCAUAAGCAUCUUCUAAUUUAACAGUGGAAUCUUAAAAUCAAUUUCAAAGAUCAAAGCACAAAAAUUAUCUUGGUUUUGAUCUUAGUAUAAAAUACUGUCAAUAAUUAUAAAACAAGAAUUAUAUGCCCUUAGAAUGUGCACCAUUUUAAGCUAUUAAAUUCACCCAUAUUGCAG
RNAcentral lists this long non-coding RNA (1951 nucleotides) under Equus caballus (horse). RNAcentral describes it as "lncRNA (ENSECAG00000045964.1)". Lineage: Eukaryota; Metazoa; Chordata; Mammalia; Perissodactyla; Equidae. The record is from RNAcentral.